AUGACUCCCAUGUGGCUCUUCCUCUUCCUGCUGUCAGCUCCCAGAUGUGUCCUGUCCCAGGUGCAGCUGCAGGAGUCAGGCCCAGGACUGGUGAAGCCCUCUCAGACCCUCUCCCUCACCUGCACUGUGUCCGGGGGCUCAGUCACCAGUAGUUACUACAGGAACUGGAUCCGCCAGCCGCCAGGGAAAGGGUUGCAGUGGAUGGGGUACUGGUCAGGGGGCACAAGCUACAACCCAGCCUUCCAGGGCCGCAUCUCCAUCACUGCUGACACGGCCAAGAACCAGUUCUCCCUGCAGCUGAGCUCCGUGACCACCGAGGACACGGCCGUGUAUUACUGUGUCCUGCCACCAGCUGGGCAGCAGCCACCACCUCGGUCCUGCUGUCCCCUCUCAGUCCUCACAUUGCCAUGGGCCAGAGCAGGGCCAGAGCAGGACCAAGCGCUUCAAGAGACCUCAGUUCUCCCUCCAGGCGACUGUCAGGCCCAGUUAUCAGCAGCAGAGAAGGGCACUGAGCAAGAGGAGGCGGAGCUGCAGGAAAAGCUCCAGCGCCCAGGUCCUGAGUGCGCAUGCCCAGGGCUGGCCCAGCUGGUGCUACUGGACCUGGGGGACAUGGUGGCCUGGACCCCUGCACCCUCCGCCUCUGGCCGCUGCUGCUGGACACCAGCCUGGCGGUGA
Myotis lucifugus (little brown bat) is the source of this 675-nucleotide non-coding RNA. Lineage: Eukaryota; Metazoa; Chordata; Mammalia; Chiroptera; Vespertilionidae. The record is from the annotation of a RefSeq genome assembly.